UACGUAGGGAGCAAGCGUUGUCCGGAUUCACUGGGUGUAAAGGGUGCGUAGGCGGGAGAAUAAGUCAGCGGUGAAAUCUUACGGCUCAACCGUGAAACUGCCGUUGAUACUGUUUUUCUUGAGUUCGGGAGAGGUUGAUGGAAUUCCAGGUGUAGCGGUGAAAUGCGUAGAUAUCUGGAAGAACACCAGUGGCGAAGGCGGUCAACUGGCCCGAAACUGACGCUGAGGCACGAAAGCGUGGGUAGCGAACAGG
RNAcentral lists this ribosomal RNA (253 nucleotides) under uncultured bacterium. RNAcentral's name for it is "partial 16S ribosomal RNA". It matches the Rfam family "Bacterial small subunit ribosomal RNA", at positions 524 to 776 of the family's 1533-position model. The record is from RNAcentral.